GAUGAAGAACGUAGCGAAAUGCGAUAAGUAAUGCGAAUUGCAGAAUUCAGUGAAUCAUCGAAUCUUUGAACGCACAUUGCGCCCCCUGGUAUUCCGGGGGGCAUGCCUGUCCGAGCGUCAUUACAACCCUCAAGCUCAGCUUGGUAUUGGGCCCCGCCGACCCGGCGGGCCCUAAAGUCAGUGGCGGUGCCGUCCGGCUCCGAGCGUAGUAAUUCUUCUCGCUCUGGAGGUCCGGUCGUGUGCUCGCCAGCAACCCCCAAUUUUUUUCAGGUUGACCUCGGAUCAGGUAGGGAUACCCGCUGAACUUAAGCAUAUCAAUAAGCGGAGGA
This 329-nucleotide unclassified non-coding RNA is filed under the name soil metagenome. RNAcentral's name for it is "partial contains 5.8S ribosomal RNA, internal transcribed spacer 2, and large subunit ribosomal RNA". The stretch from base 1 to 120 matches the Rfam family "5.8S ribosomal RNA", at positions 35 to 154 of the family's 154-position model. The record is from RNAcentral.